GUGCCAGCCGCCGCGGUAAUACAGAGACUGCAAGCGUUGUUCGGAUUCACUGGGCGUAAAGGGUGCGCAGGCGGCCAAGUGUGUCAGGUGUGAAAGCUCGAGGCUUAACCUCGAAACUGCGCCUGAAACUAUUUGGCUAGAGUACUGGAGAGGGAAGUGGAAUUCACGGUGUAGCAGUGAAAUGCGUAGAUAUCGUGAGGAACACCAAUGGCGAAGGCAACUUCCUGGACAGUUACUGACGCUCAGGCACGAAAGCGUGGGGAGCAAAAGGGAUUAGAAACCCCUGUAGUCC
Molecule: ribosomal RNA, 292 nt
Filed under: uncultured bacterium
Lineage: Bacteria
Description: partial 16S ribosomal RNA
Rfam family: Bacterial small subunit ribosomal RNA
Source: RNAcentral